GUGCUUACUUCGGCAGCACAUAUACUAAAACUGGAACGAUACAGAGAUUAGCAUGGCCCCUGCACAAGGAUGACAUGCAAAUUCGUGAAGCGUUCCAUGGUUUU
This is a small nuclear RNA of Bison bison bison, 104 nucleotides long. NCBI's taxonomy places the organism in Eukaryota, Metazoa, Chordata, Mammalia, Artiodactyla, Bovidae. The record is from Ensembl.